GCGAGAGUGGUGAAACUGGCAGACACGCCAGACUUAGGAUCUGGUGCCUCAGGCAUAAGGGUUCGAGUCCCUUCUCUCGCA
RNAcentral lists this transfer RNA (81 nucleotides) under Spirochaetia bacterium. RNAcentral describes it as "tRNA-Leu". It matches the Rfam family "tRNA". From Rfam's summary of the family: Transfer RNA (tRNA) molecules are approximately 80 nucleotides in length. Their secondary structure includes four short double-helical elements and three loops (D, anti-codon, and T loops). Further hydrogen bonds mediate the characteristic L-shaped molecular structure. tRNAs have two regions of fundamental functional importance: the anti-codon, which is responsible for specific mRNA codon recognition, and the 3' end, to which the tRNAs corresponding amino acid is attached (by aminoacyl-tRNA synthetases). tRNAs cope with the degeneracy of the genetic code in two manners: having more than one tRNA (with a specific anti-codon) for a particular amino acid; and 'wobble' base-pairing, i.e. permitting non-standard base-pairing at the 3rd anti-codon position. RNAcentral also lists the same sequence under 1 other name. The record is from RNAcentral. Lineage: Bacteria; Pseudomonadati; Spirochaetota; Spirochaetia.